This 26-nucleotide small RNA is filed under the name Bombyx mori (domestic silkworm). Its description in RNAcentral is "ovarian small RNA-15971". The record is from RNAcentral. Lineage: Eukaryota; Metazoa; Arthropoda; Insecta; Lepidoptera; Bombycidae.
GAGGUUAUAAAUAGCAUGGUGGCGUC